Molecule: long non-coding RNA, 380 nt
Organism: Epinephelus fuscoguttatus (brown-marbled grouper)
Lineage: Eukaryota; Metazoa; Chordata; Actinopteri; Perciformes; Serranidae
Exons: 3
Source: RefSeq, a predicted model, not a curated record
UGUAUUCAAUGUUACCAAACUCAAUGUUGCAGUGCCCGUCUUUGGUGACCAGGCGAGAUUUGCGGCUUCGGUGUCCAGCUGGCUGCAUGUGACCCUGGAGCACCUGGAACAUCCUGGAGCUUUACAGAGCAAACGGAAGCACGGAAUGACUCCCAUCGAGAUGGCCUUCCUCCUGAAGGCGUUCAGCAGAGUCCAGGGGUCAAACCAGCCCUCGUUCUCCAACCCUGGGAGUCAGGACAAAAGUAGGCGACGGACCAGCCCAUCACACCGCCUCCUACGAUCACUACGUCGGCCCUCUCCGGCGGAAGGUCCGGGUUGAUCUGCAGGGGAGACCAGCUGCUGCCGGGCAGCGCGUCUGACGCCUUCUUCCUCAUAGCUGC